UAGGGAAUCUUCGGCAAUGGACGAAAGUCUGACCGAGCAACGCCGCGUGAGUGAAGAAGGUUUUCGGAUCGUAAAAACUCUGUUGGUAGAGAAGAACGUUGGUGAGAGUGGAAAGCUCAUCAAGUGACGGUAACUACCCAGAAAGGGACGGCUAACUACGUGCCAA
RNAcentral lists this ribosomal RNA (166 nucleotides) under uncultured bacterium. RNAcentral describes it as "partial 16S rRNA". It matches the Rfam family "Bacterial small subunit ribosomal RNA", at positions 355 to 511 of the family's 1533-position model. The record is from RNAcentral.